AAGUGCGGAUGACAUUG
Molecule: ribosomal RNA, 17 nt
Filed under: Eucalyptus yumbarrana
Lineage: Eukaryota; Viridiplantae; Streptophyta; Magnoliopsida; Myrtales; Myrtaceae
Description: partial 18S ribosomal RNA
Source: RNAcentral